GACGAACGCUGGCGGCGUGCCUAAUACAUGCAAGUCGAACGCAGUGGGGACGGGUGAGUAACACGUGGGUAACCUCCCAUCAGAGGGGAUAACAUUUGAAACAGGGGCUAAUACGAUAGUGAAGGGUGGACCCCCGGUGCAUUAGCUAGUUGGUGAGGUAAAGGCUUACCAAGGCCACGAUGCAUAGCCGACCUGAGAGGGUGAUCGGCCACACUGGGACUGAGACACGGCCCAGACUCCUACGGGAGGCAGCAGUAGGGAAUCUUCGGCAAUGGACGAAAGUCUGACCGAGCAACGCCGCGUGAGUGAAGAAGGUUUUCGGAUCGUAAAACUCUGUUGUUAGAGAAGCGGUAUCUAACCAGAAAGCCACGGCUAACUACGUGCCAGCCGCCGCGGUAAUAC
Molecule: ribosomal RNA, 402 nt
Filed under: uncultured bacterium
Lineage: Bacteria
Description: partial 16S ribosomal RNA
Rfam family: Bacterial small subunit ribosomal RNA
Source: RNAcentral